RNAcentral lists this ribosomal RNA (504 nucleotides) under uncultured bacterium. RNAcentral's name for it is "bacterial SSU rRNA". It matches the Rfam family "Bacterial small subunit ribosomal RNA", at positions 191 to 715 of the family's 1533-position model. The record is from RNAcentral.
GAUCCAGUGUGAAAAACUCCGGUGGUACAGGAUGGACCCGCGUCUGAUUAGCUGGUUGGUGAGGUAACGGCCCACCAAGGCAACGAUCAGUAGCCGGCCUGAGAGGGUGAACGGCCACAUUGGGACUGAGACACGGCCCAAACUCCUACGGGAGGCAGCAGUGGGGAAUAUUGCACAAUGGGGGAAACCCUGAUGCAGCGACGCCGCGUGAGUGAAGAAGUAUUUCGGUAUGUAAAGCUCUAUCAGCAGGGAAGAUAAUGACGGUACCUGACUAAGAAGCACCGGCUAAAUACGUGCCAGCAGCCGCGGUAAUACGUAUGGUGCAAGCGUUAUCCGGAUUUACUGGGUGUAAAGGGAGCGCAGGCGGUGCGGCAAGUCUGAUGUGAAAGCCCGGGGCUCAACCCCGGUACUGCAUUGGAAACUGUCGUACUAGAGUGUCGGAGGGGUAAGCGGAAUUCCUAGUGUAGCGGUGAAAUGCGUAGAUAUUAGGAGGAACACCAGUGG